Molecule: ribosomal RNA, 505 nt
Filed under: uncultured bacterium
Lineage: Bacteria
Description: partial 16S ribosomal RNA
Rfam family: Bacterial small subunit ribosomal RNA
Source: RNAcentral
GACGAACGCUGGCGGCGUGCCUAAUACAUGCAAGUGGGACGCAAAGAAACACACUGUGCUUGCACACCGUGUUUUCUUGAGUCGCGAACGGGUGAGUAACGCGUAGGUAACCUGCCUAUUAGCGGGGGAUAACUAUUGGAAACGAUAGCUAAUACCGCAUAAUAUUAAUUAUUGCAUGAUAAUUGAUUGAAAGAUGCAAGCGCAUCACUAGUAGAUGGACCUGCGUUGUAUUAGCUAGUUGGUAAGGUAAGAGCUUACCAAGGCGACGAUACAUAGCCGACCUGAGAGGGUGAUCGGCCACACUGGGACUGAGACACGGCCCAGACUCCUACGGGAGGCAGCAGUAGGGAAUCUUCGGCAAUGGACGAAAGUCUGACCGAGCAACGCCGCGUGAGUGAAGAAGGUUGUCGGAUCGUAAAGCUCUGUUGUAAGUCAAGAACGUGUGUGAGAGUGGAAAGUUCACACAGUGACGGUAGCUUACCAGAAAGGGACGGCUAACUACGUG